GAUCCUGGCUCAGAUUGAACGCUGGCGGCAGGCCUAACACAUGCAAGUCGAGCGGAUGAGUGGAGCUUGCUCCAUGAUUCAGCGGCGGACGGGUGAGUAAUGCCUAGGAAUCUGCCUAUUAGUGGGGGACAACGUUUCGAAAGGAACGCUAAUACCGCAUACGUCCUACGGGAGAAAGCAGGGGACCUUCGGGCCUUGCGCUAAUAGAUGAGCCUAGGUCGGAUUAGCUAGUUGGUGAGGUAAUGGCUCACCAAGGCGACGAUCCGUAACUGGUCUGAGAGGAUGAUCAGUCACACUGGAACUGAGACACGGUCCAGACUCCUACGGGAGGCAGCAGUGGGGAAUAUUGGACAAUGGGCGAAAGCCUGAUCCAGCCAUGCCGCGUGUGUGAAGAAGGUCUUCGGAUUGUAAAGCACUUUAAGUUGGGAGGAAGGGCAUUAACCUAAUACGUUAGUGUUUUGACGUUACCGACAGAAUAAGCACCGGCUAA
RNAcentral lists this ribosomal RNA (490 nucleotides) under Stutzerimonas stutzeri. RNAcentral's name for it is "bacterial SSU rRNA". It matches the Rfam family "Bacterial small subunit ribosomal RNA", at positions 15 to 500 of the family's 1533-position model. The record is from RNAcentral. Lineage: Bacteria; Pseudomonadati; Pseudomonadota; Gammaproteobacteria; Pseudomonadales; Pseudomonadaceae.